CGGACGGGUGAGUAAUGUCUGGGAAACUGCCCGAUGGAGGGGGAUAACUACUGGAAACGGUAGCUAAUACCGCAUAACGUCGCAAGACCAAAGAGGGGGACCUUAGGGCCUCUUGCCAUCGGAUGUGCCCAGAUGGGAUUAGCUAGUAGGUGGGGUAACGGCACACCUAGGCGACGAUCCCUAGCUGGUCUGAGAGGAUGACCAGCCACACUGGAACUGAGACACGGUCCAG
This 232-nucleotide ribosomal RNA is filed under the name uncultured bacterium. Its description in RNAcentral is "partial 16S ribosomal RNA". It matches the Rfam family "Bacterial small subunit ribosomal RNA", at positions 99 to 334 of the family's 1533-position model. The record is from RNAcentral.